Long non-coding RNA from Canis lupus familiaris (dog), 1729 nucleotides. RefSeq lists it as uncharacterized. The transcript has 7 exons. The record is from RefSeq and is a predicted model, not a curated record. NCBI's taxonomy places the organism in Eukaryota, Metazoa, Chordata, Mammalia, Carnivora, Canidae.
CUCCCAUGGACCGGUACUGGGUUCUGCUGGUCUGGUCUUUGCCUCGGGUAAGUCUGUAAGUCAUCUCAAGGGCAAGGCCUGAAAGAGAGACGGACCCAAGCCAGUUCAGGAGGAGCCGCAGAGAUACGAGGUGUGCUUAGGGGACGUGAUUCGGUGCCAGGCCCUGCCACACACCUUCGGGCGCCCCGCCCCCUGGACCGCCACCCACCCGCGGGCGCUGGAAAGCGUUGAACUUCCAACGUCUGGAGGUGAGAAGCGGGACCACGCGGGGAAAACGGCUGAGGCCAGGACGGUUGAAAGGAGAGGGAGAGAGGCUGAUGCACAGAGGGGUCGCUGGCUGAAAUGGGCUUUGGGGACAGGGAAGCAGCAGAAAGGACAGGAGGCGGAGGGGCCCUCACCAGGGACAGGAAAAACACGUAUUGCUGUGGAGUCCAGAAGUAGCUGCCUGGUUCUGGAAGCCGGGAAGUCCAAGACCAAGGUGCUAACAGGUUUGGUAUCUGACUAUUCCUCAAACUGCGGUCUGAGUGGAUCUUCUAAACACUGAAUCAGGACUUCUUUUUCCCAGUAAGGUGGACUAGGUUAUUUGGAUCAACUCUCUGACUGAAAACAACUUGAGAGAGAAAAACUGGACAAAACAUAAGAAACAUUUUCUUAAGGUCAACGAAGGGAUGACAAAACAAUAAGGAAUUAUCAAGCCCAAAAUUUUUAUUUAUUCAUGAAAGACACAGAGAGAGAGAGGCAGAGACAUGCAGGGAGCCUGAUGCGGGACUCAAGCCCAAGACUGUGGGAUCACACCUGGGGCUAAAGUCAGGCGCUCAACCUCUAAGCCACCCAGGCGUCCCAAUGAUGGGCUAUCAUACACAGCUCUGCCUUCCAGUGGACAGUCUCUUAAGUCUUCAUAGUGGCCCAAACUUAUUGGUUAUUUAUGAGAGAAAAAUUCACAAGAAUUCUUUAUAAAGAAUCUACAGGAUUUGAUGUUGCUGAAGGGAAGCCAACCACCACAUAGGAGAAACCAUAAAGACAGAUUUUGAUCUUAGUAUAAAGAAGUCUCCUAUCAAUCAAAGUUGCCCAAAAAUAGAGAUGCCUGAGAGGUAGUGAGUUCCUUGUCAUCCGGCUUUUUCAAGCACAGGCCAACUAAGGAUAGAGAUGGUAGUGGAUGUUGUGUUGGAAAUGCAGAGGGAUUGGAUGGCUUUUGGUUCCCUUCAAUGCUGAAGUUAUGUGAUCCAAUUCUCAAUAAAGAAAAGUCAAAAGGGUCUCCUGUACUUAACAGGGAAAGAAAUUUCCUACCAGGAAUGUAUAUAUUUUUACCCAUGUAGGAGGAAUGCCACAACAGAAAAUGGUCAUCGCAGUUACCUGGAUAAUCAUGUCAAUUAUCUUCAUCCCAUUUCCACCAUUCUAUUUUCUUACACUUUAAGAUCUUACUUUGGUUACCCAUGUUGCAGAAUGGAAAAUGUUCUGACUAGCUAGCUAAAUUAAAUUAAAAUUAAAUUCAUUUAGCAUUUGGAUUUAUCAGGGAAAUUAAUGAAUCUAGCACUUCUGUGGUCAGUUAUUGCCUCUCUUAGCCAAAUCAUGCUGGGACGCAUAAUAAAUGUGUGCUUCUGGUCUGAAGAACUGAGAACCAAACUCUGAAUUUUGGUAACCCACCAGUGUGCCUCCAUCCUGUUUAAAGCGGCCAUCUAAAUGCUACAUAUGCUAGAAGACAAGUUGGUACUUUGUGUCAGUCUCCACU